Molecule: ribosomal RNA, 440 nt
Filed under: Escherichia coli
Lineage: Bacteria; Pseudomonadati; Pseudomonadota; Gammaproteobacteria; Enterobacterales; Enterobacteriaceae
Description: partial 23S ribosomal RNA
Rfam family: Bacterial large subunit ribosomal RNA
Source: RNAcentral
UAUCGACGGCGGUGUUUGGCACCUCGAUGUCGGCUCAUCACAUCCUGGGGCUGAAGUAGGUCCCAAGGGUAUGGCUGUUCGCCAUUUAAAGUGGUACGCGAGCUGGGUUUAGAACGUCGUGAGACAGUUCGGUCCCUAUCUGCCGUGGGCGCUGGAGAAUUGAGGGGGGCUGCUCCUAGUACGAGAGGACCGGAGUGGACGCAUCACUGGUGUUCGGGUUGUCAUGCCAAUGGCACUGCCCGGUAGCUAAAUGCGGAAGAGAUAAGUGCUGAAAGCAUCUAAGCACGAAACUUGCCCCGAGAUGAGUUCUCCCUGACUCCUUGAGAGUCCUGAAGGAACGUUGAAGACGACGACGUUGAUAGGCCGGGUGUGUAAGCGCAGCGAUGCGUUGAGCUAACCGGUACUAAUGAACCGUGAGGCUUAACCUUACAACGCCGAAG